Long non-coding RNA from Suricata suricatta (meerkat), 556 nucleotides. RefSeq lists it as uncharacterized. Lineage: Eukaryota; Metazoa; Chordata; Mammalia; Carnivora; Herpestidae. The transcript has 3 exons. The record is from RefSeq and is a predicted model, not a curated record.
GGCAGAGGGACAAGAUGGAGCUGGUGAGGUCCACACAAACGAAGUUGGAUUUCAUAUUGAGUCUGGAGAGCAAAAAAUGGAUUUCUUUUAGGAGUCUUGUUAAGAGCACCAUGAAAUACCCAUGGAGGCAUACUCUCUCAUUGGCAGUUCCUCUGCCCACUGGGUGUCCACAUGAUUCUAACUGAUCUGGAGUCCUGUACAGGCAGUCCGGUCUCCUGACAGGGACAGUCCAUGCUAUUAAAAAUUUAGUUAUGUCCAGCUGUAGCUGUUGGAAGCAGAAAACUUCAUUCACUGGGAAGACACUUGUAGCAGUCCACAAUUAAAAAAAGAAAGCCAAGACUUGUUCUAAGCAGAAAAUUCUCAUUUAGAAGAUGAGAUUUCUUUGUAGAUGUGAUGAUGAAGUGCCUGGCUCUUUAUAUACAUAUUAAUGUGUUCUCACAGCAAGUUUGCAAAUAUUUACUGCUAUACCCAGUUGACAGAAAGAAACUGAAGUUCAAAGAGCUUAGAAAGUCAGAGUUACAGAUAAUAAAAGGCAUCAGUAUUCAAACCUAGCAUA